Pyrus x bretschneideri (Chinese white pear) is the source of this 1528-nucleotide RNA transcript. It is a transcript of the gene named organelle RRM domain-containing protein 1, chloroplastic, with no coding region annotated. The transcript is spliced from 10 exons. NCBI's taxonomy places the organism in Eukaryota, Viridiplantae, Streptophyta, Magnoliopsida, Rosales, Rosaceae. The record is from RefSeq and is a predicted model, not a curated record.
AUGAUGAAAUUUUUAGAAUGCUAAUUCAAUUCCCUUGCCAUAAUAUCUGUCACACACCUUCCAUAGCAGGCAGCUAGUCGGCUAUGGAGUCUCUCUGUCCCCACGCAGGAGUUAUCGCAUCCACAAGAUUGUCAUUCAAACCUCCCAAAACCCAGUCUCAGGCCCCGACUCCCAACCUCCGAUUCCCCUUCUCACCAACCCACAACAACCCUUUCAAUUUCCCUUCAUUUUCCUUCACUUCUUACACUUGUUUCUCCAUUCAAACAUCAUGCGCUGCUUCAACUUCAGCGACAGCAUCGGCUUCCACUUCUCUUCCUUCGUCUUCCGCUUCCAGCGACAACCGCCAUUGGGUGGUGCUCAUGGAGGCUCCUCCGCAAGGGGCGAUUUCCAGACAGCAAGUUAUUGAAUACUAUGUCGAAACCCUUCGAACCGUUUUGGGCAAUGAGAAGGAUGCUCAAAUGUGUAUAUAUGAUGCGUCUUGGGAUACCCAUUUCGGGUUUUGUUGUGAUAUUGACGAAGAAACUUCCUGCAAGCUCGCACGUUUACCGGGGGUUUUGUUGGUUAAGCCUGACCCGGAUUAUGUUUCUCAAAAGAAGGAUUAUAGUCCCCCAAAUGUUAGGUCAAGUAAUAUGUCGUCCUCUCGAAGUGGAAGUGCUUUGUUGUUUCCUCUUUUGAAUACAAAAAGGUGGCUUGUUCGAAUGGAUAAACCCAGCAUUGGGGUUGUUACAAAGGCACAAAUGGUGGAUUAUUAUGCUCAAAUACUAACAAAGGUCUUGGGGAACGAGAAGGAUGCACAAAUGUGUAUUUAUCAUGUUUCCUGGCAAUCUAACUUUGGGUUCUGUUGUGAACUUGAUGAAGAGUGUGCACAGGAAGUUGCUGGUGUUCCUGGGGUUUUAUCUGUUGAGCUUGACAAGAAUUGGGAGUCGGAGAAUAAAGAUUAUGGAGGUAAUAAUUUACAGAAUUCUACCAAUCUCUCAACUUCUGGAGCGGCAAGUGAAACAACCCCCACAAAGACAAAGAAACUGUUUGUGACUGGCCUAUCGUUUUAUACAUCUGAGAAAACCCUCCGUGCUGCAUUUGAAGGGUAUGGAGAGCUUGUUGAAGUUAAAAUAAUAAUGGACAAAAUUUCUAAAAGGUCCAAAGGUUAUGCAUUCAUAGAAUACACCACGGAGGAAGCUGCUAGCGUAGCUCUCCAAGAGAUGAACGGCAAGAUCAUAAAUGGCUGGAUGAUAGUCGUUGACGUUGCCAAGACUAGCCCUCCAAGAUACAGUAGCAGGGGCCAGACCCGACCAGCAGCAACCAGAUGAAAGAGAGAGGAAGUUAUAGAGAGAUUUGCCGCCGAGAAAUGAAUUAUUCUGGAGAGAUGGCAGGAUCAGGAAAACAUGAAGCUGCUUACAUCUUUCUCUGCGGGUCAAAAAAACUGAAAUGGAUUGUUGAGUAAAAGUGGUUAAGGGCGGUUUAUUUGGAUUAUCACUCAAAUAAAUUAGAAUCCAACUUGUCUUCACAAAAAUUUUCUCUUUAAGUCCAU